CCUCCCUCCAAUUUUGUGUUUGCUUUUGGAAUACUGUCCGUGGGAUGAUAGUUAUGUACCGCCUGCUCAAUGUUUUCCUCUUAAAUCCAUACGAUGGCAUAUAUCUACCCGUCCGAAAUUCAAAAGAGCAACAACCGGUUACUCAAGAGGUUUGCACGUCCGGUUACUCAAGAGAGUGAGGAGCUUUUUGGGUACUCGAAAAUAAGGAAUCUUGAAUCCAGCUGGUUUAAGUGACAGGGUGGUGGACCGGUGGUAUGGCUGUGGCGGAGGCGAUGGUUUAUGGGUUUGUUGCUAGUGGCUUAUGGGUGUGUUGGUAGUGGUUAUGGUGUUAGAGCGGAAACAAGGAUUUGUUAGUGGUGAUUUAUGUGCAUUGUGGUUUUGCAGUGGUUGUGCAAUGGCGGAGAUGGUGGUCUUGGUGAAGACGACAAUGACAGGUGAAGGUGGUGGCCUAGUUGAAUAAAUGGUGGUGAUUAUGGUUAGAUGGGUUCAGACUUAAAAAUUAUAUGGGAUUGUGUUAACUUGUUUUUUUAAGUAUUUUUUAUUUAAAAUAUAUUAAAAUAAUAUAUUUUUUUAAAUUUUUUAAAUUUAAUUUUUAAUAUUUUUAGAAUGAAGAUUUGCACGAUGGAGGUUGAAAUGCAUUCCAUGGCAAUGAAGAUAGAUAUGGAAGAAUAUUUUUAUAUAUAUGUACGGUUUUAUAUAUU
Populus trichocarpa (black cottonwood) is the source of this 701-nucleotide long non-coding RNA. RefSeq lists it as uncharacterized. NCBI's taxonomy places the organism in Eukaryota, Viridiplantae, Streptophyta, Magnoliopsida, Malpighiales, Salicaceae. The record is from RefSeq and is a predicted model, not a curated record. The transcript has 2 exons.